GACGAACGCGGCGGCGUGCCUAAUACAUGCAAGUAGAACGCACAGUUUAUACCGUAGCUUGCUACACCAUAGACUGUGAGUUGCGAACGGGUGAGUAACGCGUAGGUAACCUGCCUGGUAGCGGGGGAUAACUAUUGGAAACGAUAGCUAAUACCGCAUAAUAUUAAUUAUUGCAUGAUAAUUGAUUAAAAGGUGCAAUUGCACCACUACCAGAUGGACCUGCGUUGUAUUAGCUAGUAGGUGAGGUAACGGCUCACCUAGGCGACGAUACAUAGCCGACCUGAGAGGGUGAUCGGCCACACUGGGACUGAGACACGGCCCAGACUCCUACGGGGGGCAGCAGUAGGGAAUCUUCGGCAAUGGACGAAAGUCUGACCGAGCAACGCCGCGUGAGUGAAGAAGGUUUUCGGAUCGUAAAGCUCUGUUGUAAGAGAAGAACGGGUGUGAGAGUGGAAAGUUCACACUGUGACG
This 471-nucleotide ribosomal RNA is filed under the name Streptococcus gordonii. RNAcentral describes it as "bacterial SSU rRNA". It matches the Rfam family "Bacterial small subunit ribosomal RNA", at positions 28 to 474 of the family's 1533-position model. Lineage: Bacteria; Bacillati; Bacillota; Bacilli; Lactobacillales; Streptococcaceae. The record is from RNAcentral.